This 383-nucleotide ribosomal RNA is filed under the name uncultured eukaryote. RNAcentral describes it as "partial 18S ribosomal RNA". It matches the Rfam family "Eukaryotic small subunit ribosomal RNA", at positions 592 to 976 of the family's 1831-position model. The record is from RNAcentral.
CAAUAGCGUAUAUUAAAGUUGUUGCAGUUAAAAAGCUCGUAGUUGGAUUUCUGGUGGGAGCGAUCGGUCUGGCGCUUAGCGCGAGUACUUGCAUAGUCUCCGGCCAUCCUUGGGGAGAGUCUGUCUGGCAUUAAGUUGUCGGGCAGAGGAUCCUCAUCGUUUACUGUGAAAAAAUUAGAGUGUUCAAAGCAGGCUUAUGCCGUUGAAUAUAUUAGCAUGGAAUAAUAAGAUAGGACUUUGGUACUAUUUUGUUGGUUUGCGCACCAAAGUAAUGAUUAAUAGGGACAGUUGGGGGUAUUCGUAUUCCGUUGUCAGAGGUGAAAUUCUUGGAUUUACGGAAGACGAACUACUGCGAAAGCAUUUACCAAGGAUGUUUUCAUUAA